CGUGAGUAUGGGAAUGAGGUUCUCCCUUAGUGAAUACUAAAACCGCUUAUCAAGCUGAUGACUUCUGCGUAAAU
Molecule: regulatory RNA element, 74 nt
Organism: Clostridium sp. FS41
Lineage: Bacteria; Bacillati; Bacillota; Clostridia; Eubacteriales; Clostridiaceae
Rfam family: Fluoride riboswitch aptamer (crcB RNA motif)
Source: Rfam